GGGUCAGUGGCGAAACUGGCAGACGCACGGGGCUUUUCAGCGAAUCCACGGAUUCCCUGAACAACCCCGAUGCCGCUCGGCGGCUUGUGAGUUCGAAUCUCACCUGACCUA
Molecule: transfer RNA, 111 nt
Filed under: Planctomicrobium piriforme
Lineage: Bacteria; Pseudomonadati; Planctomycetota; Planctomycetia; Planctomycetales; Planctomycetaceae
Source: Rfam by way of RNAcentral